AAAGCUCGUAGUUGAACCUUGGGCCUGGCUGGCCGGUCCGCCUCACCGCGUGUACUGGUCCGGCCGGGCCUUUCCCUCUGUGGAACCUCAUGCCCUUCACUGGGCGUGACGGGGAAACAGGACUUUUACUGUGAAAAAAUUAGAGUGCUCCAGGCAGGCCUAUGCUCGAAUACAUUAGCAUGGAAUAAUGAAAUAGGACGUGCGGUUCUAUUUUGUUGGUUUCUAGGACCGCCGUAAUGAUUAAUAGGGACAGUCGGGGGCAUCAGUAUUCAAUUGUCAGAGGUGAAAUUCUUGGAUUUAUUGAAGACUAACUACUGCGAAAGCAUUUGCCAAGGAUGUUUUCAUUAAUCAGGAACGAAAGUUAGGGGAUCGAAGACGAUCAGAUACCGUCGUAGUCUUAACCAUAAACUAUGCCGACUAGGGAUCGGACGAUGUAAAUAAUUGACUCGUUCGGCACCUUACGAGAAAUCAAAGUGUUUGGGCUCCAGGGGGAGUAUGGUCGCAAGGCUGAAACUUAAAGAAAUUGACGGAAGGGCACCACCAGGGGUGGAGCCUGCGGCUUAAUUUGACUCAACACGGGGAAACUCACCAGGUCCAGACACAAUGAGGAUUGACAGAUUGAGAGCUCUUUCUUGAUUUUGUGGGUGGUGGUGCAUGGCCGUUCUUAGUUGGUGGAGUGAUUUGUCUGCUUAAUUGCGAUAACGAACGAGACCUUAACCUGCUAAAUAGCCCGUAUUGCUUUGGCAGUACGCUGGCUUCUUAGAGGGACUAUCGGCU
RNAcentral lists this ribosomal RNA (777 nucleotides) under Simplicillium lanosoniveum. Its description in RNAcentral is "SSU rRNA". It matches the Rfam family "Eukaryotic small subunit ribosomal RNA", at positions 623 to 1428 of the family's 1831-position model. Lineage: Eukaryota; Fungi; Ascomycota; Sordariomycetes; Hypocreales; Cordycipitaceae. The record is from RNAcentral.